This 500-nucleotide ribosomal RNA is filed under the name uncultured Oxalobacteraceae bacterium. RNAcentral describes it as "bacterial SSU rRNA". It matches the Rfam family "Bacterial small subunit ribosomal RNA", at positions 13 to 507 of the family's 1533-position model. The record is from RNAcentral. Lineage: Bacteria; Pseudomonadati; Pseudomonadota; Betaproteobacteria; Burkholderiales; Oxalobacteraceae.
GGUAUCCUGGCUCAGAUUGAACGCUGGCGGCAUGCCUUACACAUGCAAGUCGAACGGCAGCGCGGGGCGAACCUGGCGGCGAGUGGGCGAACGGGUGAGUAAUAUAAUCGGAACGUACCCUGGAUGGGGGAUAACGUAGCGAAAGUUACGCUAAUACCGCAUACGAUCUAAGGAUGAAAUGGGGGAUUCGCAAGAACCUCAUGCUCCUGGAGCGGCCGAUAUCUGAUUAGCUAGUUGGUAGGGUAAAAGCCUACCAAGGCAUCGAUCAGUAGCUGGUCUGAGAGGACGACCAGCCACACUGGAACUGAGACACGGUCCAGACUCCUACGGGAGGCAGCAGUGGGGAAUUUUGGACAAUGGGCGCAAGCCUGAUCCAGCAAUGCCGCGUGAGUGAAGAAGGCCUUCGGGUUGUAAAGCUCUUUUGUCAGGGAAAAAACGGUGCUUUCUAAUACAGAGCGCUAAUGACGGUACCUGAAGAAUAAGCACCGGCUAACUACGUG